RNAcentral lists this ribosomal RNA (253 nucleotides) under uncultured bacterium. RNAcentral describes it as "partial 16S ribosomal RNA". It matches the Rfam family "Bacterial small subunit ribosomal RNA", at positions 524 to 776 of the family's 1533-position model. The record is from RNAcentral.
UACGUAGGGGGCUAGCGUUGUCCGGAUUUAUUGGGCGUAAAGAGCGUGUAGGCGGCCAUUUAGGUCCGGUGUGAAAACUCGAGGCUUAACCUCGAGAUGUCAUCGGAAACCAUUUGGCUAGAGUCCGGAAGAGGAGAGUGGAAUUCCUGGUGUAGCGGUGAAAUGCGCAGAUAUCAGGAAGAACACCAAUGGCGAAAGUAGCUCUCUGGGACGGUACUGACGCUGAGACGCGAAAGCGUGGGGAGCGAACAGG